This 497-nucleotide ribosomal RNA is filed under the name uncultured bacterium. RNAcentral describes it as "partial 16S ribosomal RNA". It matches the Rfam family "Bacterial small subunit ribosomal RNA", at positions 28 to 507 of the family's 1533-position model. The record is from RNAcentral.
GAUGAACGCUGGCGGCGUGCCUAAUACAUGCAAGUCGAGCGAACGGACGAGGAGCUUGCUUCUCUGAUGUUAGCGGCGGACGGGUGAGUAACACGUGGAUAACCUACCUAUAAGACUGGGAUAACUUCGGGAAACCGGAGCUAAUACCGGUUAAUAUUUUGAACCGCAUGGUUCAAAAGUGAAAGACGGUCUUGCUGUCACUUAUAGAUGGAUCCGCGCUGCAUUAGCUAGUUGGUAAGGUAACGGCUUACCAAGGCAACGAUGCAUAGCCGACCUGAGAGGAUGAUCGGCCACACUGGAACUGAGACACGGUCCAGACUCCUACGGGAGGCAGCAGUAGGGAAUCUUCCGCAAUGGGCGAAAGCCUGACGGAGCAACGCCGCGUGAGUGAUGAAGGUCUUCGGAUCGUAAAACUCUGUUAUUAGGGAAGAACAUAUGUGUAAGUAACUGUGCACAUCUUGACGGUACCUAAUCAGAAAGCCACGGCUAACUACGUG